GGCUGGUCCGAUGGUAGUGGGUUACCAGAACUUAUUAACUAGUGUCACUAAAGUUGGUAUACAACCCCCCACUGCUAAAUUUGACUGGCUUUAA
This 94-nucleotide Y RNA is filed under the name Moschus moschiferus (Siberian musk deer). RNAcentral describes it as "Y RNA (ENSMMSG00000024166.1)". It matches the Rfam family "Y RNA". From Rfam's summary of the family: Y RNAs are components of the Ro ribonucleoprotein particle (Ro RNP), in association with Ro60 and La proteins. The Y RNAs and Ro60 and La proteins are well conserved, but the function of the Ro RNP is not known. Lineage: Eukaryota; Metazoa; Chordata; Mammalia; Artiodactyla; Moschidae. The record is from Rfam by way of RNAcentral.